RNAcentral lists this ribosomal RNA (381 nucleotides) under uncultured bacterium. Its description in RNAcentral is "bacterial SSU rRNA". It matches the Rfam family "Bacterial small subunit ribosomal RNA", at positions 524 to 906 of the family's 1533-position model. The record is from RNAcentral.
UACGGAGGGUGCAAGCGUUAUCCGGAUUCACUGGGUUUAAAGGGUGCGUAGGCGGGUAUUUAAGUCAGUGGUGAAAUCCUAGAGCUUAACUCUAGAACUGCCAUUGAUACUAUUUAUCUUGAAUAUUGUGGAGGUAAGCGGAAUAUGUCAUGUAGCGGUGAAAUGCUUAGAUAUGACGUAGAACACCUAUUGCGAAGGCAGCUUACUACGCAUAUAUUGACGCUGAGGCACGAAAGCGUGGGGGAUCAAACAGGAUUAGAUACCCUGGUAGUCCACGCCCUAAACGAUGGAUACUCGACAUACGCGAUACACUGUGUGUGUCUGAGCGAAAGCAUUAAGUAUCCCACCUGGGAAGUACGACCGCAAGGUUGAAACUCAAAG